UAUUCCUCAGCAACAGCUUAUGGACUUGCAUAAGCAGAUGAAAAAAAAAAAAGAGGCUUGGGAUGUAUUAAAAAACAUGUAUGUAUAUGAUGGAUGGAAAGAGAGUGUGCAGGAAUACCACACAAAUGAAUGUCUUUCUGUAUUUUUGGAGUCUUUUUUGUUUCAGGCCCGUGGUGAUGGUGCCUUGGAAGGGUUCUGGAAUUUCAGAACACAAAGUAGCAGUUUUAAAUAAUGAGAGAAGAUUCCACAUGGAACGCUCAUCUAGCUGUGGCAGCCUGUGACUGAAUGAGAGAAAAGUGCCCUAGAAGCUAUUCAUUACGAAUUCACUGGAAGCUCUCAAACGAGGCUGGCAGAAGCUGAAAUUGAAGUGGUCUCUGACCUAAUUUUCUUCUGCAUGAAACAUCUGCAUCAAGGCUCUCUUUGAUGUAUUCCACUUGGCUCUGUCUACGGGAUUGUAUCACAUGGCCUCGGUGUUGCCUCCUUAUUGAAAGACAUUUUCAGCCUGUGCAAGAAGAUGAAAAUCUCAGCAGAGCCCCCACUGUCUCAGUCCUGAUGUCUACCUAAGAAGCACAGACCUGCCAAAUCUCGCAGGCACAGGAUCAGAAUCCUGGACCGAGAAGAGGACUUGACGAAGACUAGUGUAAAAUGUUCUCUGCAUCCAUUUCCUCAAGAGACUAUAAACCAAUAGCAGAAAAAUGAUGUGAUCAGGUUUCUGAGGCAGUGGCUGCUUUACAUUAACCAAGGAAGAUAGCUGCUAGGAGGAUCCAUUCUGUGAACGAAAAGGAAGAGCGGGACACAGAGAUCUAAAGAGCACAGAGCUAAUUUCAUUGAGUAGACAUUUGUUGAGACCCCACUUGGUGUAAAUAUAAUCCCGGGGACAAUGGAAGGACAAGCAGAGGGUCUAACAAUUGUCUGCCUUCAAGCACUCUACAGUUUGUAGGGGAGCUGAAAUGUGCCCACUAAAUGCUAAGGAAGGCAAAGUCUAUGGAGAAAUUAAAAAAAAAAAAAAACCUGGGCUGGACUGGAGAAAGGAUCUCAGUUGGCUGCCUCCUCUUUGUCAUCUGUUCCUGCUCCCUUCCCCCUCCAACACCACCAGCCUUCGCCCUGAGCCUGCCCAAGGACAAUAGGGAGCGGCCCUUGAUGAGGCU
Non-coding RNA from Ictidomys tridecemlineatus (thirteen-lined ground squirrel), 1148 nucleotides. Lineage: Eukaryota; Metazoa; Chordata; Mammalia; Rodentia; Sciuridae. The record is from RefSeq and is a predicted model, not a curated record.